GCGUUGUCCGGAAUCACUGGGCGUAAAGGGCGCGUAGGCGGUUUCUCAAGCGUGCGGUGAAAGCUCAGGGCUCAACCCUGAGUCGGCCGUGCGAACUGGGAGACUGGAGCACGGUAGAGGCACAGGGAAUUCCGGGUGUAGCGGUGAAAUGCGUAGAGAUCGGGAGGAACAUCAGUGGCGAAGGCGGCCAUCUGGGACAACACUGACGCUGAAGCACGAAAGCGUGGGGAGCAAACAGG
Molecule: ribosomal RNA, 239 nt
Filed under: uncultured bacterium
Lineage: Bacteria
Description: partial 16S ribosomal RNA
Rfam family: Bacterial small subunit ribosomal RNA
Source: RNAcentral